This 1276-nucleotide ribosomal RNA is filed under the name Salmonella enterica. Its description in RNAcentral is "partial 23S ribosomal RNA". It matches the Rfam family "Bacterial large subunit ribosomal RNA", at positions 1545 to 2802 of the family's 2925-position model. Lineage: Bacteria; Pseudomonadati; Pseudomonadota; Gammaproteobacteria; Enterobacterales; Enterobacteriaceae. The record is from RNAcentral.
UCACUUUAACACUGAGGCGUGACGACGAGGCACUACGGUGCUGAAGCAACAAAUGCCCUGCUUCCAGGAAAAGCCUCUAAGCAUCAGGUAACAUCAAAUCGUACCCCAAACCGACACAGGUGGUCAGGUAGAGAAUACCAAGGCGCUUGAGAGAACUCGGGUGAAGGAACUAGGCAAAAUGGUGCCGUAACUUCGGGAGAAGGCACGCUGACACGUAGGUGAAGUGAUUUACUCAUGGAGCUGAAGUCAGUCGAAGAUACCAGCUGGCUGCAACUGUUUAUUAAAAACACAGCACUGUGCAAACACGAAAGUGGACGUAUACGGUGUGACGCCUGCCCGGUGCCGGAAGGUUAAUUGAUGGGGUCAGCGCAAGCGAAGCUCCUGAUCGAAGCCCCGGUAAACGGCGGCCGUAACUAUAACGGUCCUAAGGUAGCGAAAUUCCUUGUCGGGUAAGUUCCGACCUGCACGAAUGGCGUAAUGAUGGCCAGGCUGUCUCCACCCGAGACUCAGUGAAAUUGAACUCGCUGUGAAGAUGCAGUGUACCCGCGGCAAGACGGAAAGACCCCGUGAACCUUUACUAUAGCUUGACACUGAACAUUGAGCCUUGAUGUGUAGGAUAGGUGGGAGGCUUUGAAGUGUGGACGCCAGUCUGCAUGGAGCCGACCUUGAAAUACCACCCUUUAAUGUUUGAUGUUCUAACGUGGACCCGUAAUCCGGGUUGCGGACAGUGUCUGGUGGGUAGUUUGACUGGGGCGGUCUCCUCCUAAAGAGUAACGGAGGAGCACGAAGGUUGGCUAAUCCUGGUCGGACAUCAGGAGGUUAGUGCAAUGGCAUAAGCCAGCUUGACUGCGAGCGUGACGGCGCGAGCAGGUGCGAAAGCAGGUCAUAGUGAUCCGGUGGUUCUGAAUGGAAGGGCCAUCGCUCAACGGAUAAAAGGUACUCCGGGGAUAACAGGCUGAUACCGCCCAAGAGUUCAUAUCGACGGCGGUGUUUGGCACCUCGAUGUCGGCUCAUCACAUCCUGGGGCUGAAGUAGGUCCCAAGGGUAUGGCUGUUCGCCAUUUAAAGUGGUACGCGAGCUGGGUUUAGAACGUCGUGAGACAGUUCGGUCCCUAUCUGCCGUGGGCGCUGGAGAACUGAGGGGGGCUGCUCCUAGUACGAGAGGACCGGAGUGGACGCAUCACUGGUGUUCGGGUUGUCAUGCCAAUGGCACUGCCCGGUAGCUAAAUGCGGAAGAGAUAAGUGCUGAAAGCAUCUAAGCACGAAACUUGCCCCGA